GAUGAACGCUGGCGGCGUGCCUAACACAUGCAAGUCGAGCGCACGGACGAGAAGCUUGCUCCUAUGAUGUUAGCGGCGGACGGGUGAGUAACAUGUGGAUAACCUACCUAUAAGACUGGGAUAACUACGGGGAACAGGCGCUAAUACCGGAUAAUAUUUUGAACAGCAUGGUUCAAACGUGAAAGACGGUCUUGCUGUCACUUAUAGCUGGAUCCGCGCUGCAUUAGCUAGUUGGUAAGGUAACGGCUUACCAAGGCAACGAGGCAUAGCCGACCUGAGAGGGUGAUCGGCCACACUGUAACUGAGACACGGUCCAGACUCCUACGGGAGGCAGCAGUAGGGAAUCUUCCGCAAUGGGCGAGAGCCUGACGGAGCAACGCCGCGUGAGUGAUGAAGGUCUUCGGAUCGUAAAGCUCUGUUAUUAGGAAAGAACAUAUGUGUAUUUAGCUGUGCACAUCUUGACGGUACCUAAUCAAGAAGCCACGGCUAACUACGUG
Molecule: ribosomal RNA, 497 nt
Filed under: uncultured bacterium
Lineage: Bacteria
Description: partial 16S ribosomal RNA
Rfam family: Bacterial small subunit ribosomal RNA
Source: RNAcentral